GUAGGUGGCAAGCGUUGUCCGGAAUUAUUGGGCGUAAAGCGCGCGCAGGCGGGGUUUUUAAGUCUGAUGUGAAAGCCCACGGGCUCAACCGUGGAGGGUCAUUGGAAACUGGAGAACUUGAGUACAGAAGAGGAAAGCGGAAUUCCACGUGUAGCGGUGAAAUGCGUAGAGAUGUGGAGGAACACCAGUGGCGAAGGCGGCUUUCUGGUCUGUAACUGACGCUGAGGCGCGAAAGCGUGGGGAGCAAACAGGAUUAGAUACCCUGGUAGUCCACGCCGUAAACGAUGAGUGCUAAGUGUUAGGGGGUUUCCGCCCCUUAGUGCUGCAGCUAACGCAUUAAGCACUCCGCCCGGGGAGUACGGCCGCAAAGGCUG
Molecule: ribosomal RNA, 374 nt
Filed under: uncultured organism
Description: partial 16S ribosomal RNA
Rfam family: Bacterial small subunit ribosomal RNA
Source: RNAcentral